This 383-nucleotide ribosomal RNA is filed under the name uncultured eukaryote. Its description in RNAcentral is "partial 18S ribosomal RNA". It matches the Rfam family "Eukaryotic small subunit ribosomal RNA", at positions 592 to 976 of the family's 1831-position model. The record is from RNAcentral.
CAAUAGCGUAUAUUAAAGUUGUUGCAGUUAAAAAGCUCGUAGUUGGAUUUCUGGUGGGAGCGAUCGGUCUGGCGCUUAGCGCGAGUACUUGCAUCGUCUCCGGCCAUCCUUGGGGAGAGUCUGUCUGGCAUUAGGUUGUCGGGCAGAGGGUCCUCAUCGUUUACUGUGAAAAAAUUAGAGUGUUCAAAGCAGGCUUAUGCCGUUGAAUAUAUUAGCAUGGAAUAAUAAGAUAGGACUUUGGUACUAUUUUGUUGGUUUGCGUACCAAAGUAAUGAUUAAUUGGGACAGUUGGGGGUAUUCGUAUUCCGUUGUCAGAGGUGAAAUUCUUGGAUUUACGGAAGACGAACUACUGCGAAAGCAUUUACCAAGGAUGUUUUCAUUAA